UCCCCUGCUCAGCACCCAUCAGUGACAGUCAUCUUCUGGUCAGGGCACAGGCCAGUAGAGAGCACGACUUAGCCUGGUGGAAAGGACCCCUGCCCCACAUGGCGCCUUUCCCAUAGCCUGAGGCUGCUCCUCUCCCAGGAGAAUGCUGUUUUCACUGCAGUGGAAAAGUCCUACCCCAGAGGCUGCUGUGGUUGCACGAAGUAGAACCUACUCAAGCUACUAAAGCAGAAAUGAAAAGCUACAUCCUGAGGACACAGGUCUGAGACCCCAGUGCAAGAAGCAUGGCCUCAGCAAAGUCUAGGACAAGAGCUUCAAAAUCACCAGGGGGAGAAGACCCUCGGAAUCCCACCUAUAAAAGCUGGGCUGCUGCCUCUAUCCUUGUCCGCCCUGAUGACAGCAGUUCUUGUGGCCGUCCACGGGGUGCCCCACGGAGCCUCCCACCCCCACCUCCCCAUCACCAAUUCAGCUCCAGCUCGGUUGUAUCUGAUUUGCUGGCAACUUCAUGGAGACCAAA
Molecule: long non-coding RNA, 514 nt
Organism: Orcinus orca (killer whale)
Lineage: Eukaryota; Metazoa; Chordata; Mammalia; Artiodactyla; Delphinidae
Exons: 3
Source: RefSeq, a predicted model, not a curated record